Molecule: ribosomal RNA, 459 nt
Filed under: uncultured bacterium
Lineage: Bacteria
Description: partial 16S ribosomal RNA
Rfam family: Bacterial small subunit ribosomal RNA
Source: RNAcentral
CUACGGGUUGCACCAGUAAGGAAUAUUGCGCAAUGGAGGCAACUCUGACGCAGCCAUGCCGCGUGCAGGAAGAAGGCCUUAUGGGUCGUAAACUGCUUUUAUUUAGGAAUAAACCCCCGAACGUGUUCGGGGCUGAAGGUACUAAACGAAUAAGCACCGGCUAACUCCGUGCCAGCAGCCGCGGUAAUACGGAGGGUGCAAGCGUUAUCCGGAUUUAUUGGGUUUAAAGGGUGCGCAGGCGGGCUAUUAAGUCGGUGGUGAAAUCCCGGGGCUCAACUCCGGAACUGCCAUUGAUACUGAUAGUCUUGAGUUUGGUUGAAGUGGGCGGAAUGUAGCAUGUAGCGGUGAAAUGCAUAGAGAUGCUACAGAACACCAAUCGCGAAGGCAGCUCACUAAGCCAAAACUGACGCUCAUGCACGAAAGCGUGGGGAUCAAACAGGAUUAGAUACCCCAGUAGUC